AACUCUGGUAUUGAUUGGUGCUUGCAUCAUGAUUUACAUUUGAGUGAGUGGCGAACUGGUGAGUAACACGUGGGAAACCUGCCCAGAAGCGGGGGAUAACACCUGGAAACAGAUGCUAAUACCGCAUAACAACUUGGACCGCAUGGUCCGAGUUUGAAAGAUGGCUUCGGCUAUCACUUUUGGAUGGUCCCGCGGCGUAUUAGCUAGAUGGUGAGGUAACGGCUCACCAUGGCAAUGAUACGUAGCCGACCUGAGAGGGUAAUCGGCCACAUUGGGACUGAGACACGGCCCAAACUCCUACGGGAGGCAGCAGUAGGGAAUCUUCCACAAUGGACGAAAGUCUGAUGGAGCAACGCCGCGUGAGUGAAGAAGGGUUUCGGCUCGUAAAACUCUGUUGUUAAAGAAGAACAUAUCUGAGAGUAACUGUUCAGGUAUUGACGGUAUUUAACCAGAAAGCCACGGCUAACUACGUGCCAGCAGCCGCGGUAAUACGUAGGUGGCAAGCGUUGUCCGGAUUUAUUGGGCGUAAAGCGAGCGCAGGCGGUUUUUUAAGUCUGAUGUGAAAGCCUUCGGCUCAACCGAAGAAGUGCAUCGGAAACUGGGAAACUUGAGUGCAGAAGAGGACAGUGGAACUCCAUGUGUAGCGGUGAAAUGCGUAGAUAUAUGGAAGAACACCAGUGGCGAAGGCGGCUGUCUGGUCUGUAACUGACGCUGAGGCUCGAAAGUAUGGGUAGCAAACAGGAUUAGAUACCCUGGUAGUCCAUACCGUAAACGAUGAAUGCUAAGUGUUGGAGGGUUUCCGCCCUUCAGUGCUGCAGCUAACGCAUUAAGCAUUCCGCCUGGGGAGUACGGCCGCAAGGCUGAAACUCAAAGGAAUUGACGGGGGCCCGCACAAGCGGUGGAGCAUGUGGUUUAAUUCGAAGCUACGCGAAGAACCUUACCAGGUCUUGACAUACUAUGCAAAUCUAAGAGAUUAGACGUUCCCUUAGGGGACAUGGAUACAGGUGGUGCAUGGUUGUCGUCAGCUCGUGUCGUGAGAUGUUGGGUUAAGUCCCGCAACGAGCGCAACCCUUAUUAUCAGUUGCCAGCAUUAAGUUGGGCACUCUGGUGAGACUGCCGGUGACAAACCGGAGGAAGGUGGGGAUGACGUCAAAUCAUCAUGCCCCUUAUGACCUGGGCUACACACGUGCUACAAUGGAUGGUACAACGAGUUGCGAACUCGCGAGAGUAAGCUAAUCUCUUAAAGCCAUUCUCAGUUCGGAUUGUAGGCUGCAACUCGCCUACAUGAAGUCGGAAUCGCUAGUAAUCGCGGAUCAGCAUGCCGCGGUGAAUACGUUCCCGGGCCUUGUACACACCGC
RNAcentral lists this ribosomal RNA (1358 nucleotides) under Lactiplantibacillus plantarum. RNAcentral describes it as "bacterial SSU rRNA". It matches the Rfam family "Bacterial small subunit ribosomal RNA", at positions 65 to 1393 of the family's 1533-position model. The record is from RNAcentral. Lineage: Bacteria; Bacillati; Bacillota; Bacilli; Lactobacillales; Lactobacillaceae.